RNAcentral lists this long non-coding RNA (11011 nucleotides) under Capsicum annuum. RNAcentral's name for it is "long non-coding RNA (CANN_LNC009776)". The record is from RNAcentral. Lineage: Eukaryota; Viridiplantae; Streptophyta; Magnoliopsida; Solanales; Solanaceae.
CCUUUUCCUCGCGUUUUUGUGUAUAUAUGGUGUAUAUAUGAUCGUAAUUCAGUCACAUACACACAACUUUUAGCCCUCCCCCUGUAUAAUCAGCUUCUUUUUCCAUUUUUUAUGCGUAUAUCCUCAGCAUACUGUUGUAUACCUGUGUAUGUAGCUUUGUUUCUCGACGGAUUUAGUCUAUUUUUUGGAUUUAGACAAGGUUCAAACUCGACGUUAGACUAGGCCUCGAUGGCCCAUUACAGAAAUGCAAGGACGUGGGUCGGAUUAGACUCCAACGACGAUGCUCAUGCAAAAAGAAGAAGUAAACGAUUAACUCAAUUCGAAAGACUCUGGCAUACAAUUUUAGAAAGCAAAAAAAAACAAGUUCUCACUAACCAAUGUUAUUUAAAAGAGGAGAAAUUAAAUCUUUGAACAACUGUAGGUGAUUAGAAUAGCAGAAAAUGAAAUGCGUCAAUUGUAAGAUCGUAUUGAAAACAAGAACAACAUAUAUUACUUUAUUCUAAGGGAAUCAAAAAUAUAUCCUAACUAAUUAAUCGACUUAGACAAGACUAAUCUAACAUUUACAAUUAUGCAACUACUCAUUAUCUCACUAAGCUAACCAAUUUACCUAAACUAAUCAACUAUUUACUUUAUAAUCUCAACACAGUUAAACAAAAAUUUGUUUAAAAAAUAUCUUGUUCAUCAAAUUUCAACAAUCCAAACAUGACCAGACAAAGGCACCAUUAUACAGAUGAAAUCGCCAUUUUAUUAAAUCACCAAAACCCCUCAAUAUAGAAGACUAAAGACCAUAAGAAAGGAGAUAAGUAUUUUGGGAGAUUCAUUAUCUCUACUUGAACACAAAUAUUAUCAUUUAAAUAUGGCCAUAGAGAAAGUAAUAAACCACUAUCCUUAAUCAGGGAGGUUUCACUUUCCAGUAAUCAAUUUUAAACUCGCUCAUAUGCAUACAAAACAAGAACAGAUUUCAAACUAACACCAGUGAAUGUAAAACAGAUUUCAAACUAGCACCAGUGUAUGUAAAACAGAUUUCAGACUAUCACAAUGGCACACAAAACAGAUGUACUUUUUUUGGUGAUCAAUUCUAAGCCACCACAUAUGCAGACACAUAACAUGACUUCGACUUAGCAUAUCUCAAACUUUCAAAUUUUCAUCAAAAAAUCAAAACCUCUUUUUUUUUAUUAGACGAGACCAGCCCACUCUCACAAUUAUAGCAAAAUUCUGGACUUACUAUAUUCAAGAGUAAAUAAGAAAAAACCUAAGAAAGAUGAAGUGCUCACAGAACACUAAAGAGAAUUCAUACAAAAUCAAAUAAGUCUUAAUUUAACAUGAGACGAAAACUUUAGUUACAGGAAACAAAUUGGGUGAAAAGUUUACCAACUUCCAUCAUAGAACACAGGUUGGGGAUUUUGUGGAGCUGAGGGGUAUAUAGAUUGUGAUGGCAUUUUCCCAGAAUUAGACCCGAAAGAUUUCUUUGACUUCGGGUUUGGACUAGAGGAUACAAAAGACACAUCUUCUCUCUUUUUAUUAGGGAAUCCUGAAGAUCCAAGUUGUGCAGAGAUCUUGUUGAUUUUUCCUGUCCGGAGUCCUUUUUCAAUUGUUUCACCAAUCUUAACCAAGUCAGCGAAGGUAGCAUGAAUUGUCGAUUUCAUUUUGUCAUAAAACUCUCCCUCCUGAGCUCGGGUAAACACAACGACUAUUUUUUUCUGUCAUAGGAGGUCAUACCUCUACUGCCUCUUUCUGCCAAUAACAGGCAUAUUCAUAAAAGAAUUCAUUAGACUUUUUCUUGAUGCGGUUCAAAGAAUAUCGAUCAGGAAAUAUCUCUACAUUGUAGGAAAAUCUAUCAACAAAAUCCCUAGCUAAAGCACUCUAUUUAGGCCUUUUCUUUAAUUUUUGUGAAGCAACCCACUCAGGCUUCGACUGAAGAGCCUUAGCAACAAUGCUUCAUUUCUACCAGAGCCUACCAUUUGGUCACAAUAUCUUCUCAAGUGGGUUGUCGGGUUUCCAUUACCAUCAAGUGUCUCAUACUUAGGGACUUUAAAUACUUCGGGCAAGUUCAAGUCAAGGUGAAUGCAAAGGUCAUCAUAACUGAACCCUAUUGCAUUGGGCGAAUUGUGUGUUUUCUUCAUCUUGGUGAUCUUUUCCUUUAUCAGUAGUAGCUUCCUAGCAUGUCUGCCUUCAGGCACCUUACACUCCUUCUCCAUCUCCUCAUAAUGGUCAAUUUAUAGAUUUUGGGGGAAUGUAUAGUAAAAGGAAGGCAUUACAAUAGCAUGAAUGGUAGCGGGAGGCAUAUUUUGGGUCAUUAGAGGAUUUUGAGUGGUAUGAGCAAAGUUUUGGUAUAUGGGAACUGAAUUUUAAGGAACAUUGGCAUUGGGACUGAAAACAGGGUGAGUAUUUUGGGAGGUGAAGGCAUUUAUGAAGGUAUUUUGGUAAUUUAGAGUGAAGCUUUGAGGGUGGUAAGCAUUUGGAUUAUUUUCUCGAUUGGUAUUGUAAGUAGGCGGGUAUGGUUUUGGCACGACAGAUUGAUGGAAUUAGCGGGAGGUCUAGGCAUAGAAAUGGAGGGUAUGUCGUUUGGUUAGUUUCCAUUGUUGGGAAAGCUAAGAGGAGGAAAUUGUAGUGGAUGCGCAUAGUUAUCCAAGACUGGCAUAUUAGCGACAAUGGCCAGAUUAGCCAUAUCUUUUGCUCAUUGUGCUUAUUCUUGAAGCUCCCCCAUUCUCCUAGUUAGUUCAACAAUCAUCUCACCUUGUGUCGUUAUCACACUAUCCCUAAUAGUAAUUUCAGUAAGAGCAUUAUCAUCGUUACUAUCAGUCAUUCUUUCCUCUUCAGCUAGGCGAUGGUCAAGAGAGGAAUUUUUAUUUUCCUUAGAUCUAGUAAAAUAUUAAUGUUCAGCCAGUUUUGUCAACAUAGAUCAAUUUCUACUUACUUGAUACUGGUUAAAACAACUCCAAAGGAAAAUAUUUUAAAUUAUUUAGCUUUCAAUAAUGCAAUAUAUUCAACAUAAAGUUAUUUUCAUCUUAGUUAAAAUAAUUCGGGGGGGGGGGGGGGUUUUUUCCGAAAAAAAAAAUGAGUAGGUAUUGACUCGAAAGGAAUUAACGGGCAGGACUUUGUCCAUUGAUUUUUGGAUAAAUGGGUCUUGACAGGAUUUUUCUAAGUCUUCUGAUUUUGGACUCAUAUGACUUUCUUUGAAAAAACGAGACAUAAAGAUUUUAAAGGAUAGAGGUCGGGCCAAAAGGCUACCUACGUAUCACACAAAAGAGAAAUCAGGCCAUACAUAGUUAAAAUAGGCAAGGAUAAAACUUUGAUUCAUUGAAAUCUCAUUAGAGUUCAUUACAUCAGGAGAACACGAAAAGGAAAAUAACAACAGAAAAGACAAAAUUAAUGACUAAGUCUUGGGUAGAUGCGAGCAAUCCCACUUCAUCCCGCUUCUUCUAUAUCUUGAUAUCCUAUAGGUGGUAUGGAGGAAAUUCUAUCUCGACCCUUUCUGUAUCCACCAGGCUCUCCAAAUCUAUCUUAAAAGCACGACAAGUUUCCAAAUUGUGCCCUCCGAUCCCUCCUUGAUAGUGACAAACCUUUUUGAAUUUCUUCGAAGCCUUAGACAUCUUAUUAGGCUUCCUUACCACUAGCUCUAAAAUCUUGGCAUGGAUGAGCUUUGACUAGAUUUCAUGGUAAGUAUCCUCAAACCUUGUGAAGUCAUAUUUGUAAAGUUGUAUGCUAUUAGUGACAGGUAUGCUUGGAUUAACCUGGUCGCAAUAGAGACUGGUUUGUGAUCCCUACAAAUUGUUUAUUUUGCCAUUGUGGGUCUUGUUGCAAAUCCUGGCCUUCAAAGCAAUACACUCGUCAGUGGUAUGGCCAGAUUGAUUCAGAAAAUAACCAAAUCCUUCCAUUUGAUCGGGCUAGAGGACCUCAUAUCUCUUAGGAUUUUAUAAAGCCGAGCAUGUCACGAUCUGGGGGUACCAAAAAUAUCUUCUGAAGCGAGAUCUGAGGGUGAUUUUUUCACUUCCCGACCUAAUCCUAGUUGGCCAGACGACAUCCCCUUUAAUCUUAGCCCAACAGUCCUCUCUUAAGUUUGAAGGUGGGGCUUGCUCAAACUUCUUCUUUUCCUGCGUGAUCAACUGCUUGACUUCGGCAAUUUCCUUGUCGGCCUAAUCGGCCCUCCUAAUCAGUCUCUUGAUCUUUUUUUUUUUUUGCAUUUCCUCCAUUUGGGCUAACUCUACUAUCCCUCUUUCAGUUGUGUGGUACUUAAAUCCAUGACAAAUCUUCCUAAAAGAAUAUGAAUACAUUUAAAAAGAAAGUUAACGAAAAUGAUUGAGGACUUUCUGAGAGACUUGGGGACCUGGAGCAUUUUGGGCGAACUUUAGAUAAUAAGCACAUAUUUUUUCCUAAAGGGUUUCUAAUACUUUGUUAAAGAGUAGAUCAAUUUACCUUUGAUUUAACAAUGCAUAUAAUCACAUAAACAGUUAUAUCACACAAGACAGUUAUAUCAGACAACAAUAGAAUAAUAAACAGUUUGUCCUAAUUGGGUGAUCCUUUUGAGCCAAGGGUUGGCCUAGCAAAUUUGAAGGAAAUAUAUGCUUUUUAAACCAAUCAAUUAACCCCCCAAAUCUCCAUAGAUAUAUAGAAAGCCAUGAGUGUUUGCAAAAUAUGCAUAAAAGGAUACAAUUUUUACGGAAAGGGGAAAUGACAUAAAAAAGGAACAAAGUCCCGCGCAAGGGAUGGAAAAUUAACUCCAAGAUGAUCUUUCGUCGUCCUCGCCUUCUUAGAUUUAUCCACAUCUUCCCAUAUGUGAUAUCUUUUGAUGGUCAGGCGGCUCCCACAUAAUUGUACUUUGUUCUUGUAGGUCAUCUUCCCUAUGCUAUCAAUUUGAGAAGCCAUGUGAUCAUCCAAAUCAAGCAAACACUGUCUUGCAUCAUCAACCUCUUGCCUAGUUCGCUUUAACUCUUCUCUCAAUUGGUGUAUAGUUGAGGCAACCUCUAUCUGCAUCUAUUGGAGCAUCAUUUCACCUCUUCAGAAUUUGUCCUGAAGCUUGUGGAACCGGAUCUGAUGUUCUGACUCUACAUCAACAAUCUGUGUGGGUACAUUUGGACCCAGAACCAAUGUUCUGGCAAUAUUCUCUUUCAACUACUCUUUGUAGGUAUCACUAACCUCCGGUUCAUACCCAAUACAAAAGAAAACUUCCUUCAUCUUUCUUCUCCUCCACCCAUCUACCAUGUACUGUUUGAGUGGAGUUUCACCUUUGUGUGGUACUUAAAUCCAUGACAAAUCUUCCUAAAAGAAUAUGAAUACAUUUAAAAAGAAAGUUAACGAAAAUGAUUGAGGACUUUCUGAGAGACUUGGGGACCUGGAGCAUUUUGGGCGAACUUUAGAUAAUAAGCACAUAUUUUUUCCUAAAGGGUUUCUAAUACUUUGUUAAAGAGUAGAUCAAUUUACCUUUGAUUUAACAAUGCAUAUAAUCACAUAAACAGUUAUAUCACACAAGACAGUUAUAUCAGACAACAAUAGAAUAAUAAACAGUUUGUCCUAAUUGGGUGAUCCUUUUGAGCCAAGGGUUGGCCUAGCAAAUUUGAAGGAAAUAUAUGCUUUUUAAACCAAUCAAUUAACCCCCCAAAUCUCCAUAGAUAUAUAGAAAGCCAUGAGUGUUUGCAAAAUAUGCAUAAAAGGAUACAAUUUUUACGGAAAGGGGAAAUGACAUAAAAAAGGAACAAAGUCCCGCGCAAGGGAUGGAAAAUUAACUCCAAGAUGAUCUUUCGUCGUCCUCGCCUUCUUAGAUUUAUCCACAUCUUCCCAUAUGUGAUAUCUUUUGAUGGUCAGGCGGCUCCCACAUAAUUGUACUUUGUUCUUGUAGGUCAUCUUCCCUAUGCUAUCAAUUUGAGAAGCCAUGUGAUCAUCCAAAUCAAGCAAACACUGUCUUGCAUCAUCAACCUCUUGCCUAGUUCGCUUUAACUCUUCUCUCAAUUGGUGUAUAGUUGAGGCAACCUCUAUCUGCAUCUAUUGGAGCAUCAUUUCACCUCUUCAGAAUUUGUCCUGAAGCUUGUGGAACCGGAUCUGAUGUUCUGACUCUACAUCAACAAUCUGUGUGGGUACAUUUGGACCCAGAACCAAUGUUCUGGCAAUAUUCUCUUUCAACUACUCUUUGUAGGUAUCACUAACCUCCGGUUCAUACCCAAUACAAAAGAAAACUUCCUUCAUCUUUCUUCUCCUCCACCCAUCUACCAUGUACUGUUUGAGUGGAGUUUCACCUUCUUUAUAUUCGGUGAUAAAUCUAACCAUAGACGUCGUUUGCAGUGUUUCCUGCUUGAUUUCAAACCACCUAAGAACCCCUUAGACCUGGAAGUACUAAAAAAGGCCAUUCAUUUCCUCGAGUGAUGUAUUUUCUCUGGCGAAGAUAUCUGAUAAAACACUGAACAAUGUCCUCUUUCAAUUCUCUAAAACCCUUAAACCAAAAUCCUGGAGAUUGUAUCCUCUUAAACUUGUGCAAGGACAACCAAAUGUCAUGUGAUGAUAAAAGAUCUACCCUUGUCUGAGGGUCCGGCUGCUCUACUCUGGGAUUUUUCAAUAAAUGUUUCAUCAUCCACCAUUGCAAGAUAAGGCUACACCCCUGGAAGAAACGAUGCCUUCCUUGACACUUUCCCAAAGCCUUAUAUAUUUCAACGAUGAUCAUGGGAGCUAAAGUAUAAUACUUUAGUGGUUUUGUAAUUUACUCCAUAGAGAAAAAGGCGUGUGUCACCAUAACGACUCUUGAAUUAAUGGUGCCAUUUUCUCCUUGUGGGAACUCUAUAGUUCCAAGCAAGCCCAAGGCAAAAGCAAAUGCUCUUUUCUCUUUCCAUUUUGACUCUGAUUCGAACUUAUGCCCAAACUUCUCAAAAACGUUAUACUUUUCAAACUAGCGAUAUAACUCAAGAAAAAAUAUGUUAUCUUCAUCAUGUUCACCCAACCAGGUAUCAUCACUGAUUGAAAAGGCAUCCUUGAUCUCCUGACGGUUCCAUACAGUAGGGGCUAGAAUACUUUUGUCGGGUGCACUCUUUCUUUUCCUACACAUAUCAAUGCUCUCAUAAUAGGUCAUUACUUCUUCAAUAGUGGGAGUCAAUUCCAUUUCCCCAAAGCGAAACUCCAUGUUGCUAUCAUCCCAGAAUGUUGAUAGCACAUAGAUCAUUUCAAGCCAAACAUCCAUCUCUAUAAGCGAAGGUAGAUGUUCGAUAUGUGUACUAACAAUCUCUUUGUCUUUUCCAUCUAUAUGAGUUGACCAUGCUUUCAUAAAGUUAUCAGGUCCGGUAACCAUCUUGAAUUUUUUACAGGGGUAUGAUUGAGCCAUUCCUAUACGAAAGAAAACAAAAGUAAGUCUUCCCCUUACCCCAAAGGAUAAUUGAUUGGAUUAAACAGACAUAUAUCUUUUCAACACAUAAGCAUAAUUCGUCUAUAAUUAGCUUGUGGCCAAUAGGCGCCGGGUAGGUUUUCUAAUGGGCUCAAUACCCUCGCAGGUAUUGGGUCAUCCUAGGCUCAUACCUAAAAGAGUGUUUUGAUUUUGUUCUAUCCUAGGUGUCUAGAGUGGGUUUGGACCAGGUUUUCAAGCGGACGACUUAGGUUUAGAAAUACAAAUAGCCAUCAGACGCCUAACAUGCCAAUAAACCGUCGUUUUCCCAACACGUGAUUUGAAAUAGAACAAUAGGGGCCGAGACAUCCAUGAAACCCCAAACAAUUUAUAUAUUUCGAAUGUGAAAAUAUGUCAUGAAAUGCAAUAAUUUAAAACUUGUGAAAAUUUAAACACAGAAAUAGUCAAACAGUUUAAAUAUUACAAACCCGAAUAGUUAUUCAAAGAAGUUAGUUCAAAUAUUUUGUUAGACCUAGAUAUAUUCCCAGCGGAGUCGUCAUUUCUGUUUUAUCCCUUUCCAGAUUUCAUUUGAGAGAAUGAUUUUAACCUUUUGAAACUAUUUUAAAAAUUCAAGAAAAUUUCAAAAUAAUUCUUUAAAGAAUUUACAAAGUCGCCACUUAAUUUUUACAGAAAAUAUCAAGAAAACUUAAAGAUAUUUCAAAGAUUCAAAAACUAAAAUAAAUCUUUGAAAUAAAAGCAACUGGGUAACGGUUUAAUUAAUGUCCUAAGAAGAUUUUUAAGGCACUUAGGAGCGUCCGUUUAAAACGGUUCACCAAAAAUCAUGCAAAAAAGGUUGCUUUUAUAAAAUUGUUUGUUCUCAUAUUUAAAAUUGACAUUUGUUUAUUCAAACGAGAGAUAUUCUACUUGAAUUUAGUACUUAAUCCGAUAUCAAUUUUGAGAAAAAUUACUAAAUGUUCCGCUUAAUUUGAGGAACAUUACGAAAUAUCUUGCAUGAGAAAAUAUUUUACUUAGUCGCAAGAAAGUUAGAAUUUGAGAAAACGAUCAAGGAAAAUGCUAAUGGAAAAUUUCUACUUAAUUCGCAGUUAUUUCUAGAGAAAUUAUGGAAUAUUUUCUUGAAUUUAAAAAGAAAUCUAUUUAAACUAGAUUGCACAUUCGAAUUUAAGGAGGAAAUAAGUUUGAUUUUUAUGGAAAAGAGGAUUAUAUAAUUAUAUAUUAUUAUUAUUAUUAUUGUCAUAAAAAUGGUCAUUUUGUUAUAAAUAACACCUUUAAAAAAUAUUAAGAACGUAUCAUGUUAAAAAAAUAUUUUAUCAAUAAUGAGAAGUUAGAAUUUAUGAGAAAGAAAUUAACUUCUUGAGUUUAAAAAAAAUUAUUUUAACCCAAGUAGGCUAUUAGUCAUGUGAACAAGACAAGUGCUAUUUUCAAAUGGAGGGCUUAACAAUUUUUUCUUUUAAAAACUAGUUUUUGGAAGAACAAUCGAAAGAGCCACUUUAAUCCGUUUAGACAAAAUAAAUUAGGAGAGAAAAUUGCGAAUCAAAUAUGGAAAUCGAAGGAAAACAAAAUAACAACAACAUGAGAAAACACUGAAUUAAUUAAUUAAAGUUAGUGCUAAUACAAUUAAAUAAAUAUAAGUUGCAAUUUAUAACAGAAUAAAAGAUUAAAGUUGAGGUUGGACCCCUUUUUGGCCCAUCAGUAGGCUGCCCAACCUUUGGGCUUGCAAUUUUAUGGACUUUUAAGUUCCAUUUCUCUGCACGUAUACCAGAUAUAUAUCACAACUCCAUUUCCUUGCGUUUUUGUGUAUAUAUUUUAAACACAUACAUACAACUUUUAGCCCCUCCCCCACCCCACCCCCCCACAUAAUCAGCUUCAUUUUCCAUUUUUCAACCGUAUAUCCUCAGCAUAUUGUUGUAUAUCUAUGUAUGCAACUUUGUUUCUCGACGGUUUUCGUCUAUCUUUUGAAUUUAGAGAAGGUUCGGACUCAACGGUAGACUGGGCCUCCACGACCCAUUGAAGAAAUGCAGGGAUGCGGGUCCGACUAGACUCCAACGAGGAUGCUCAUCAAAAAGAAGAAGUAAACGAUUAACUCAAUUCGAAAGACUCUUGCAUACAAUUUUUGUAAGAAAAAAAAAAGCUCUCAUUAACCAAUGUUAUUCAAAAGGGAAGAAAUUAAAUCUUUGAACAACUGCAGGCGAUUAGAAUAACAAAAAAUGAAAUGCUUCAAUUUUGAGAUUGUAUUGAAAACAAGAACAACCUAAAUUACUUUAUUCCAAGGAAAUAAAAAAUAUAUCCUAACUAAUUAAUCGACUUAGACAAGACUAAGCUAACAUUUACAAUUAUGCAACUACUCAUUAUCUCACUAAACUAACCAAUUUACCUAAACUAAUCAACUAUUUACUUUAUAAUCUCAACACAGUUGAAUAAAAUUUUGUUCAAAAAAUAGCUUGUUCAUCAAAUUUCAACAAUCUAAACAUGAGCAGAAAAAGGCACCAUUAUACAGAUAAAAUCUCCUUUUUAUUAAAUCACCAUAAACCCUCAAUAUAGAUGACUAAAUCAUGAGAAAGGAGAUAGGUACUUGGAGAGAUUCAUUAUCUCUACUUGAACUUAAAUAUUAUCAUUCAAAUGUGACCAUAGAGAAAGUAAUAAACCAAUAUCAUUCAAAACAGAUUUCAGACUAUCACAAUGGCAUACAAAGCAGAUUCACUUUUUCCGGUGAUCAAUUCUAAGCCAACACAUAACAUGACUUCGACUUAGCAUAUUUUUCAUCGAAAAAUCAAAACCUUUUUUUUAUUAGACGAGACCAGCCCACUCUCACAAUUAUUGCAAAAUUCCAGACUUACUAUAUUCAAGAGUAAAUAAGAAAAAAAUGCAAGAAAGAUGAAGUGCUUACAAAAUACUAAAGAGAAUUCAUACAAAAUCAAAUAAGUCCGAAUUCAACAUGAGACGAAACUCUAGUUACAGGAAACAAACUGGGUGAAAAGUUCACCUUUUUGGAGCAGCGAACGAGUCUUCAAAACCUUAUCGGAACAACUUCCACCACAAUUUCAGUGCUUUAAUGAAAUUCCAACGAUUUAGGAUGAAUUUUGAGAGUGCACUAAAAAUUUCUCGGUUACGUAGGGUUAGAGGUGAGCACCUCCAGAACCCUCAAGUUUUUCCUCAAGAAAUCCUCAUUCCUUUUCAUGGUGAAGAAAGGGCUAUUUAUAAAUGAAAUCUGGAUUUUCAAAUCCGGAAUUAAAGUGAAAUUUUUUUCAAAAAAAAUGUGUGGAUGGAGUUUGAAUUCAAAUUCAACAAAGAAUCUCUUUCAUAUCUUGAAUUAAUGAAGAAUUUCAGAACAAUUUUCGUUGUAUCACGGUUUGGGGACUAUUUCUCUGCCAUUGUUGGUUUCAACGGGUUGAAGAGCUAAGAAAUGGUGACGUGGCUGAGUUUUGGGAAUUGACGUUGUUUGUUGUUGAGGUUGUUAAACACCGUUUGUUGGAAUGGGUUUUUCCAUGGAAGUUGCUCGCAAUUGUUGUGGUUGCUGGUGGUUUUUUGUACUCUGUUAACUGUUGUUGUUGUUGUGUUGGAUAUUGACAAUAGGGGAAAAGAGGAUAAAGGAUGGGACAUGGGCCGGGUCAGCUGAUUUGAGAAUUGGGCCUGAUUGUUGUAUUGGGUUGGAGGCUGAUGGAUGGUUGUUGGGCUAAGUUGCUGAUGUAGUGU